GACGAACGCUGGCGGCGUGCUUAACACAUGCAAGUCGAACGGAAGGGCCCUGCUUGCAGGGUGCUCGAGUGGCGAACGGGUGAGUAACACGUGGGUGAUCUGCCCCUUACUUUGGGAUAAGCCUGGGAAACUGGGUCUAAUACUGGAUAGGACCAUGCUGUAGGUGGUGUGGUGGAAAGAUUAGUUUCGGUAAGGGAUGAGCUCGCGGCCUAUCAGCUUGUUGGUGGGGUAAUGGCCUACCAAGGCGUCGACGGGUAGCCGGCCUGAGAGGGUGGACGGCCACAUUGGGACUGAGAUACGGCCCAGACUCCUACGGGAGGCAGCAGUGGGGAAUAUUGCACAAUGGGCGCAAGCCUGAUGCAGCGACGCCGCGUGGGGGAUGACGGCCUUCGGGUUGUAAACUCCUUUCAGCCAUGACGAAGCCCUUGUGGUGACGGUAGUGGUAGAAGAAGCACCGGCUAACUACGUG
RNAcentral lists this ribosomal RNA (469 nucleotides) under uncultured bacterium. RNAcentral's name for it is "partial 16S ribosomal RNA". It matches the Rfam family "Bacterial small subunit ribosomal RNA", at positions 28 to 507 of the family's 1533-position model. The record is from RNAcentral.